UGGCUCAGACGGUAAAGAAUCUGCCUGCAAUGCAGAAGACCCAGGUUCAAUCCCUGG
RNAcentral lists this transfer RNA (57 nucleotides) under Odocoileus virginianus texanus. It matches the Rfam family "tRNA", at positions 8 to 63 of the family's 71-position model. From Rfam's summary of the family: Transfer RNA (tRNA) molecules are approximately 80 nucleotides in length. Their secondary structure includes four short double-helical elements and three loops (D, anti-codon, and T loops). RNAcentral also lists the same sequence under 2 other names. Lineage: Eukaryota; Metazoa; Chordata; Mammalia; Artiodactyla; Cervidae. The record is from Rfam by way of RNAcentral.